RNAcentral lists this transfer RNA (66 nucleotides) under Eudromia elegans (elegant crested-tinamou). Its description in RNAcentral is "tRNA-Phe". It matches the Rfam family "tRNA". Rfam says of the family: Transfer RNA (tRNA) molecules are approximately 80 nucleotides in length. Lineage: Eukaryota; Metazoa; Chordata; Aves; Tinamiformes; Tinamidae. The record is from RNAcentral.
GUCCCCGUAGCUUAUCCUAAAGCAUGACACUGAAGAUGUUAAGACGGUAUCUUUUACCCAGGGACA